This is a long non-coding RNA of Macadamia integrifolia, 1776 nucleotides long. RefSeq lists it as uncharacterized. NCBI's taxonomy places the organism in Eukaryota, Viridiplantae, Streptophyta, Magnoliopsida, Proteales, Proteaceae. The record is from RefSeq and is a predicted model, not a curated record. The transcript has 4 exons.
CUUUCCCAAUUUCGUUUAGUUCUUUUGUUUUUUCAAUGAAACUAAUUUCAUUUGGUUUCUUUAUCAAUAAUAAGCCUUAUAUUCCUUUUCAAAUUUAAAAUGUGAGAUUUCCUUUCUAUAAUCUCUCUCUCUCAAUCGACUCUCCUCCUUUCUCUUUCUUCUUUGUCAAUAAUAAAUCUUUUGUUUCUUUUACAAAUUUAAGAUAUGAGAUCUCCUUUCUACAAUCAGUCUCUCUCACUUGAUCGACUCUUCUCCUUCCUCUCCUUUCACUCUCAUAGAAGAAUAAUCAUGGAGAUCAGUGAUUAGCUUUCCUACUCUUUCCUAGAGUCUCUAUGGUGCUGCGAACAUGGCGUCUCUGGAUAGUGGACAUUGAUAGUAACAUGAUUCCUUUUGAUGAGGGUUCGAGUGACCCUACCUCUUUUUCUUCAACCAAGAGGCUCAAACAGUUCAACGAAUCUCCAAGGAAGACCGAAAGAAGAGGGAUUUAUGUUUUAUUUUUGGACCUGUUUCUCUCUGCAAUCAACAGACGCUCCCAUUGAUAUCCUCGAAGUUGUAGCAUACAUCCCAAGGCCAUAAGAAAAUGAUGGUUGAGCAUCCCAAGUUAGAUGGUUUUCUUUAGUUCCUAUCCUGAUGUCCUGAUGAGAGACGCUGAUGGAUUUGAAGAAGCAUUGGCUCCAACAAAGAAAUAGUCCCCAUCUACUAUUCGAAAGUUAAGACUUUUUCCAUUGCAUUGUUUUUGCUUUGAAGAAGAUAUCAACCUGGUACGAUUGGACCAACAUCAUGUGCUCUUAUUAUUGAUAUGCCUAUAACUAUUGUCGAGCAAAGCGAUGGCUAGUGCCAUGUUUUAUUGAUAAUGGUUGAUGGGAAGGUAACUUUUUGUUUGGUCCAAUUCCCAUUUUGAGUAUAAUGAAGAAAUACUAUUUGGUAGAAUUUUUAUUUUUGCUUCAACUUUGAUCAUGAGUACAUGAUGUUAUGUUCAUAAGCUACUAUGCCAUAUUUUGGUUCCGCCGCUACAUUGUAUGUAUGAUAGGAUUCACUAUUUUACUUUCCUACACUUAUCAUACUUCAGUUAUUGUGUAAUGCAUUGCUUUUGAGAGUGAUUAAUUUGCAUGUAAAUUUUAAUCACACGAUUUCUCUCUCCCUCUCUCUCUCUCUCUCUCUCUCUCUCUCUCUCUCAUAUAGACGCAAAAACCCACACGUUUUUGUGGGUUUUAUCGGUAAAAUUCCAAUCUAUCUUAAUAAAUUAAAAUAUAGCUUUUAACGAACCAAUACUAAACUGUACUAAAAAAUAUCCAAAUUAUUAUAAAUAUAUAGGUCUCUACCCUGUCACAAUUAAACUGUUUCACAAUCUUCAUCACUCUUUUUUUUAUUUUAUUCACUUGAAGGGGAAAAAAAAAAAGUUCACAAACAAAUGGAAAAGAAGAAGAGGUACAAACAAUCCUGUCAGGAAGUCGAUACAACUGAUGUCAACUUUUUUUUGUGGUUUCGCAAUAGCAUUUACAUGACGAUGACAUCUUGCAGUGGCAAUCUUUUAGGUAGAUGAGGGCAUGCCAAUGUACGGGAGGAAUCUUAUUUCUUCAUAAUUUUUGUGAUGUAGUCCAUAAAAUUUUGUUAGAAAAUCAACUCAAAAGAAGUUCUAGAUAGAGGAUUCAGGACUUUUAGGUUAUUUCGUAUUUUCUAGCCUUUUGUUUUUUUUUAAAGUAAGAGUAUCAAACUUGGAUAUAUGUGGCUUGCUUCAAAUUCUUAACAUGCAUGGUGUUGGUAUUUCUUAUGUAA